GGGCUCGUGGUUUAGUGGUAUAAUACUCCCUUAGCAUCUCGCAAGUACCUAGUGCUUCGAAUCUAACCUGGGAGUGGUCCGGGGUUCGAUUCCCCGCGAGUCCA
Non-coding RNA from Curvularia kusanoi, 104 nucleotides. The record is from the annotation of a GenBank genome assembly. Lineage: Eukaryota; Fungi; Ascomycota; Dothideomycetes; Pleosporales; Pleosporaceae.